This 567-nucleotide ribosomal RNA is filed under the name uncultured bacterium. RNAcentral describes it as "partial 16S ribosomal RNA". It matches the Rfam family "Bacterial small subunit ribosomal RNA", at positions 355 to 912 of the family's 1533-position model. The record is from RNAcentral.
UGGGGAAUAUUGCACAAUGGGCGCAAGCCUGAUGCAGCCAUGCCGCGUGUGUGAAGAAGGCCUUCGGGUUGUAAAGCACUUUCAGCGAGGAGGAAGGUGGUGAGCUUAAUACGCUCAUCAAUUGACGUUACUCGCAGAAGAAGCACCGGCUAACUCCGUGCCAGCAGCCGCGGUAAUACGGAGGGUGCAAGCGUUAAUCGGAAUUACUGGGCGUAAAGCGCACGCAGGCGGUUUGUUAAGUCAGAUGUGAAAUCCCCGGGCUCAACCUGGGAACUGCAUUUGAAACUGGCAAGCUAGAGUCUCGUAGAGGGGGGUAGAAUUCCAGGUGUAGCGGUGAAAUGCGUAGAGAUCUGGAGGAAUACCGGUGGCGAAGGCGGCCCCCCUGGGCGAAGACUGACGCUCAGGUGCGAAAGCGUGGGGCAGCAAACAGGAUUAGAUACCCUGGCAGUCCACGCUGUAAACGAUGUCGAUUUGGAGGUUGUGCCCUUGAGGCGUGGCUUCCGGAGCUAACGCGUUAAAUCGACCGCCUGGGGAGUACGGCCGCAAGGUUAAAACUUAAAUGAAUUG